Molecule: microRNA precursor, 64 nt
Filed under: Sphenodon punctatus (tuatara)
Lineage: Eukaryota; Metazoa; Chordata; Lepidosauria; Sphenodontia; Sphenodontidae
Description: Spt-Mir-192-P4_pre stem-loop
Source: RNAcentral
AUGACCUAUGAACUGACAGCCAGUCCUCCGGCCGUGCCUUGGCUGUCAGUUCUAUAGGGCACAG